GAUGAACGCUGGCGGCGUGCUUAACACAUGCAAGUCGAACGAAGCAUUUAAGACAGAUUACUUCGGUUUGAAGUCUUUUAUGACUGAGUGGCAGACGGGUGAGUAACGCGUGGGUAACCUGCCUCAUACAGGGGGAUAGCAGCUGGAAACGGCUGGUAAUACCGCAUAAGCGCACAGUACCACAUGGUACAGUGUGAAAAACUCCGGUGGUAUGAGAUGGACCCGCGUCUGAUUAGCUUGUUGGCGGGGUAACGGCCCACCAAGGCGACGAUCAGUAGCCGACCUGAGAGGGUGACCGGCCACAUUGGGACUGAGACACGGCCCAGACUCCUACGGGAGGCAGCAGUGGGGAAUAUUGCACAAUGGAGGAAACUCUGAUGCAGCGACGCCGCGUGAGUGAAGAAGUAGUUCGCUAUGUAAAGCUCUAUCAGCAGGGAAGAUAGUGACGGUACCUGACUAAGAAGCUCCGGCUAAAUACGUG
RNAcentral lists this ribosomal RNA (481 nucleotides) under uncultured bacterium. Its description in RNAcentral is "partial 16S ribosomal RNA". It matches the Rfam family "Bacterial small subunit ribosomal RNA", at positions 28 to 507 of the family's 1533-position model. The record is from RNAcentral.